CACAACGAACGCUGGCGGCGCGUUUUAAGCAUGCAAGUCGAGGGGUAGAGAAUCUUCGGAUUCUUGAGACCGGCGAACGGGUGAGUAACACGUAGGUGAUCUGCCACGAGGUUGGGGAUAGCCCAUGGAAACAUGGGGUAAUACCGAAUGAGCUCUUUUUACUAUGGUGAGAAGAGGAAAAGCGCUUCGGCGCUGCCUUGUGAUGAGCCUGCGGCUGAUUAGCUAGUUGGUGGGGUAACGGCCUACCAAGGCAACGAUCAGUAGCCGGCCUGAGAGGGUGAUCGGCCACACUGGGACUGAGAUACGGCCCAGACUCCUACGGGAGGCAGCAGCUAAGAAUCUUCCGCAAUGGACGAAAGUCUGACGGAGCGACGCCGCGUGGGUGAAGAAGGCCGAGAGGUUGUAAAGCCCUUUUCUGUCUGAGGAAUAAGCUUGGGAGGGAAUGCCCGAGUGAUGACGGUAGGACAGGAAUAAGCCCCGGCUAAUUACGUGCCAGCAGCCGCGGUAACACGUAUGGGGCGAGCGUUGUUCGGAAUUAUUGGGCGUAAAGGGCGCGUAGGCGGAUAUACAAGUCUGGUGUGAAAGACCGCAGCUUAACUGCGGGAGCGCGCUGGACACUGUAUGUCUUGAAUCCUUGAGGGGAAACUGGAAUUCCUGGUGUACGGGUGAAAUCUGUCGAUAUCAGGAAGAACAUCGGUGGC
This 701-nucleotide ribosomal RNA is filed under the name uncultured organism. RNAcentral describes it as "bacterial SSU rRNA". It matches the Rfam family "Bacterial small subunit ribosomal RNA", at positions 25 to 716 of the family's 1533-position model. The record is from RNAcentral.